This is a long non-coding RNA of Pyrus x bretschneideri (Chinese white pear), 1031 nucleotides long. RefSeq lists it as uncharacterized. NCBI's taxonomy places the organism in Eukaryota, Viridiplantae, Streptophyta, Magnoliopsida, Rosales, Rosaceae. The record is from RefSeq and is a predicted model, not a curated record. The transcript is spliced from 2 exons.
CACUUAAAAAAUACCAAAAUUUUCGAAACUUUUGAUACCGAACCGAUUUGGAAAUUUCGGCAUAGGAAUCAGUCUCAUAUUUUCAUUGGUUCGGUAAUCCUGAACCGAAUCGAAAUAAAAAAUAUAUAUAUUAUUUAAUUUUAAAUAUAUAUUUGGAAUUGUAACCGUCAUCAGAUUUGGUUAAGAUUUAAUCUCAACCGUUGAAUAUAAAUCAAACCCUCACACACUCAGUCACUCAGAACUCGGUCUCUCUCUCUCUCUGUCUCUCUCUCUCUCUCCCCGUCUCUCUACUGGACGUCUCGACCUCACCUCAGACCUCAGUACGUCACCACCCUCCACGCGAUUUCUCUCUCCGUCUUGGAAUCCGGCCACACCCACAUCACACAACCUCGACUGAUAUGGAGGUUGAUGAUGAAAUCAGAGUCCCUUGGACACACUGUUCUGGGGUGGCGAUCUGUUCCAACAGAUAACUCAGACUUGGGGAAUUCUGCUUUGCAGAAUGAACCUGUUAUUAAGCAAGUGUUCCUUACUGUGACCCCAACGUCGACGUCGAACGACAGGUUUUUUUUUUCCAUUCCCUGCGCUAGAAGCUUGAUCCUAUGGUUUUUGAGGUCUUUAGGGUGGUGAUUCGUUUGUUGCUAGUGAUUAGAUCAAUUCUGUAAUUGUGAUGUAAAAGUAAAAGUAAAGUUAGCAAACAUUUCUCAUGUGCAUAGGUGUGACAGAAUUGAGUUUUGCAGAAAUUCAAUUAGCAUGAGAAAUGGUUUGAGAUCCCGAUUUGUCCUGAAAUCCUGAAACUAUUUCGGGAUUCCCAAAUAUUUGGUUUGGGAUCGGUCUUGAAAUUGGGAUUCCUGAAAAUUUCGAUUUGGGAAUUGGAAUAUGGUUUUCGGUUAUGUAUCUCAUACCGAACCAGCCCUAAAAUUUUGUGUACAGCUCAAGUCAUAAUCUUGGGUGUCCCUGAUAAUGUAUCCCGCGCCCACUUGAUGAGAAAGGUAGAGAGAGAUAUGAAUGUGCAACUAGUUGCACCGACAUAA